CCCAAUUGCUCUCUUUUACUGUUCUUUUACUCUCAUGAACUGUGGAAGUGUAAAUGACGACGUUUCCGUGUUGUAACCUGGAAAGGGCUGUGAUUGUGGCAGAACCGGUUCAGAGUUGAGACGAAUGGGAACGACGGCUCUGUUGUACCUUACGGUGGAUAGUAAGAGCUCCGUCGGUUCUGGGUUUGAAAAACAUGGUUAAUUUUGAGGUUCUUGACAGGAUUUAAUCAAUUCAGAUGAUUAACGAUGCGCUGUUAUGCCUAGACCAUUGUGAUUUAUAUAGCCUUGAGGUUCCAAUUUGGUUGGUUAUAGUUGGAGUGUAUUAGAGUGUAUCCUUGGAUUAUUGAUGCUUUCGGGUCAUCAAUCAGCUGGAAGACAGUAUUUUAUCUUCUAGUUGUGUAGGAUCAUUGAUCCGGAUAUACUAUCCGUCAGUUGAAAUGACUUCAAUCUGCCUAAUAUUUUGUAAAAGGUCAAAAAGAAGAACUAGACCGAAAAGUUUAACAAUAUUUUCAUAAAAUUAAGUUGUAGGAAUAAGAUCAUUAUCCGAAUAGGGGAUGGCAGAAUUUU
Long non-coding RNA from Prunus persica (peach), 567 nucleotides. RefSeq lists it as uncharacterized. The transcript has 2 exons. Lineage: Eukaryota; Viridiplantae; Streptophyta; Magnoliopsida; Rosales; Rosaceae. The record is from RefSeq and is a predicted model, not a curated record.